GAAGACCGUGGAGAUGUGAGGGAUCAAAGUCUGAUCAGAUACAUCAUGUGAUGUGGAUCCCUGUGCAAAAAUUGAAGUGCCCCACUGUCGAGAAAGUAAGGAAGCCACACGCUGAGAGAUCAUCUCAAUCUGGUCAUCAGCCAAUCUGAUCUCUGAGGGAUGUGCUCUGCUGUCUGGCUGCUGGACUGGAGUGUGCCUCCUAGUAGACUCUGAUGGGCCAGCCUCGGGAUCUGAAACGAACUGAAUGUCUGAAGAUGCUGCCCUGAUAUCAUAGAGAGGUGAUGAAGGACCUUCUUCCUCAGCUCUGUCCUCAACUCUCUCUUCUGCA
This 328-nucleotide long non-coding RNA is filed under the name Elaeis guineensis (African oil palm). RNAcentral's name for it is "long non-coding RNA (EGUI_LNC077612)". The record is from RNAcentral. Lineage: Eukaryota; Viridiplantae; Streptophyta; Magnoliopsida; Arecales; Arecaceae.